GUAGGUGGCAAGCGUUGUCCAGAAUUACUGGGCGUAAAGCGCGCGCAGGCGGUUCUUUAAGUCUGAUGUGAAAGCCCACGGCUCAACCGUGGAGGGUCAUUGGAAACUGGAGAACUUGAGUACAGAAGAGGAAAGCGGAAUUCCACGUGUAGCGGUGAAAUGCGUAGAGAUGUGGAGGAACACCAGUGGCGAAGGCGGCUUUCUGGCCUGUAACUGACGCUGAGGCGCGAAAGCGUGGGGGAGCAAACAGGAUUAGAUACCCUGGUAGUCCACGCCGUAAACGAUGAGUGCUAAGUGUUAGGGGGUUUUCCGCCCCUUAGUGCUGCAGCUAACGCAUUAAGCACUCCGCCUGGGAGUACGGCCGCAAGGCUG
RNAcentral lists this ribosomal RNA (372 nucleotides) under uncultured organism. RNAcentral's name for it is "partial 16S ribosomal RNA". It matches the Rfam family "Bacterial small subunit ribosomal RNA", at positions 527 to 896 of the family's 1533-position model. The record is from RNAcentral.